RNAcentral lists this ribosomal RNA (455 nucleotides) under uncultured bacterium. RNAcentral's name for it is "bacterial SSU rRNA". It matches the Rfam family "Bacterial small subunit ribosomal RNA", at positions 340 to 786 of the family's 1533-position model. The record is from RNAcentral.
UACGGAAGGCAGCAGUGGGGAAUAUUGCACAAUGGGCGAAAGCCUGAUGCAGCUAUGCCGCGUGUAUGAAGAAGGCCUUAGGGUUGUAAAGUACUUUCAUCGGGGAGGAAAAACAAACUAAUAAUUUUAUUUCUUGACGUUACCCGAAAAAGAAGCACCGGCUAACUCCGUGCCAGCAGCCGCGGUAAUACGGAGGGUGCUAGCGUUAAUCAGAAUUACUGGGCGUAAAGAGCACGUAGGUGGUUUUUUUAAGUCAGAUGUGAAAUCCCUGGGCUUAACCUAGGAACUGCAUUUUGAAACUGAAAUACUAGAGUAUCGUAGAGGGAGGUAGAAUUCUAGGUGUAGCGGUGAAAUGCGUAGAUAUCUGGAGGAAUACCUGUGGCGAAAGCGGCCUCCUAAACGAAUACUGACACUGAGGUGCGAAAGCGUGGGGAGCGAAACAGGGAUUAGAUACC